GAGCCUCUAACUCAAUUCUCUAUCGCUGACGUGGCAAUAUAAUUCCACGUAACCUAUAUUUUAUAUAUACAUUAUUUUAUUUAUUAUUACAUCACAUUACACGUUUUCACCAUUCUCCUCUACUCUCAUUUCCAUUGAUUUCACCAUUCUCCUCUCCUCCACCAGAUAUCCUUCCACCUUCUCCGAUGUCAGCGAUAUUUCCAUCCCCCGGUGAUCUGCCCUCCCGGCGAUUCCACCCACCGGCACAUAACACAAAAAUCCCCCGUCUCAAAUCGACAGCUUCUCCACUCAAGUGGAUCACUCAUAGGAUUUCCUCCCUUCCCCAUCAGAAUCUUAAACCCUAAUCCAUGGCGCUUUCAAAAGAAGAGUCUGCAUCAUCGUUGUCAUCGAUUAAGCUCGGUAAUGAAAUCGAGGGGUAACGAAAUUUGUUCCGAUCUGCCUCCCCACUCCACCAAUUUCUUCGUUCUGCCUCCCGCCGCGAUUCGCUUUGCCGCGCCGGCCACCGUCGAGAUCGACACAGUCCGCCGCCUCGCUAUGGUAAGUAUUCAAUUAGGAAAGAUUAUAUUUGACUAUGAUUAGUACUCAAUUUUAGAAUAAUGAAAUUUUGGAAAGAUUUACCAAUCGAUCAAUAAUCCACCAAUUUUUAGGGUUUAGAUUUAACAAUGGAAAAUUAUUAUGUUAGGAAAGAUUACAUUUUAUUAUGAUUAGUACUAAAUUUUAGAAAUAUAAAAAUUUGGAAAGAUUUUCCUAUCGAUUAAUAAUCAGCAAAUUCUUAGGGUUUAGGUUUAACAAUGGAAACUUUAUAACCUACAUUUUAGCUAUAAAUUCAUUAGCUUGAAUGAGAAAUUUUAUUGCACAUUGAGUUUUACAGCAACACAUUCUACUGUCUUCUUGCUUAUUGCUCUUUUUGUUUAUUUCUCAAGGUAUACAUUAUAUCAAUUUUAUCUAGGAUAAUGGUGUGUUUUGUAUUAACAAAUCAUCUAUAUUAGCCAAUAUAUACACUGCUUAUGUCUGCUCUAUGCUCUAUUGCAGUUUUGACUUGCGAUGCUUAGGUAUUUUGGGUUCACCCGUCUGCACUAGAAAGCGAAAAUGAAAAGGCUGCUGGAAUCCAGUUGGAGUGUGAUCCUCACUUUUGGAUCUCUCUCUCCAGUUGGAUUGUGUUAGCAAGAAGGCAUGAAUAAUAUGAUUGGAAAACUAUGGGAAAGGGUAAAACAAAUGGAGUAUUUGGUUAUCAAAGUCUGUCUUUGUGUUUUGUGACUUUUCACUUGAUAGAUAUUACGUAUGGCUUAAAAUGGAGUAAAACCAUUGUAUAGUUAUUGAUUGUGCUGAAAAUUUUCCACAUAAACGAGCCAAGAUGUUACGUAUGGCUUUGUCUUUGCCAUUUCCUUCUAAUAUGUUUAAUCCCGAUGGCGAACACACUGUUGGAGAUAGGAAAAAUGCAUAUGGAGUGAUAGUUCCUAUAUCCUUAACUGUCUUCUAUGUUUGUUGUUUCACUGAACUUUGGGUUACAAAAAUGAUUAUAGUUUGCUUGGGGCGGAAUUAUUUUAGUUGUUAUAUUGUGAUGUAGUAUUUCACAAUAGAGGUCUAUAUUUAUAGGUGUUUUGAGUUAUAUAAUUAAUUCAUGUAGAUUAAAUUAUAGUAUUAUUGUUUUUCUUUGACGCAGAAAGACAACGUUGUUCGGGUGACAGAUUGUCUCUAACAUUCUCUGGAAUCGCAAGUGAGAAUUUUUUUAAUUUAUGUUGUGUGUUCUUCUUUUGCUUUUUAAUGUAAUUGUUGAUUACUUUGAUUCUUCACACUUCUAUCAUUCAUACAUUUGAAACUAUUAAUGCAGUUAAGUUCAUCUA
Salvia miltiorrhiza (redroot sage) is the source of this 1844-nucleotide RNA transcript. RefSeq lists it as uncharacterized. Lineage: Eukaryota; Viridiplantae; Streptophyta; Magnoliopsida; Lamiales; Lamiaceae. The record is from RefSeq and is a predicted model, not a curated record. The transcript is spliced from 2 exons.